RNAcentral lists this ribosomal RNA (195 nucleotides) under Micrococcus sp. RNAcentral describes it as "partial 16S ribosomal RNA". It matches the Rfam family "Bacterial small subunit ribosomal RNA", at positions 52 to 246 of the family's 1533-position model. Lineage: Bacteria; Bacillati; Actinomycetota; Actinomycetes; Micrococcales; Micrococcaceae. The record is from RNAcentral.
GGCACAUGCAGUCGAACGAUGAAGCCCAGCUUGCUGGGCGGAUUAGUGGCGAACGGGUGAGUAACACGUGAGUAACCUGCCCUUGACUCUGGGAUAAGCCCGGGAAACUGGGUCUAAUACCGGAUAGGAGCGCCUGUCGCAUGACGGGUGCUGGAAAGAUCUUUCGGUCAUGGAUGGACUCGCGGCCUAUCAGCU